GGCAGUGGUAGCACAGUGGUUAAGGCGUUGCUCCAUUGCUCAGAAGGUUGUGAGUUCAAACCCCAGUACUGCCA
Non-coding RNA from Ameiurus melas (black bullhead), 74 nucleotides. NCBI's taxonomy places the organism in Eukaryota, Metazoa, Chordata, Actinopteri, Siluriformes, Ictaluridae. The record is from the annotation of a GenBank genome assembly.